Molecule: ribosomal RNA, 1360 nt
Filed under: uncultured bacterium
Lineage: Bacteria
Description: partial 16S ribosomal RNA
Rfam family: Bacterial small subunit ribosomal RNA
Source: RNAcentral
CGUGCUUAACACAUGCAAGUCGAACGGGGAUGCUUAUGGAAGGAGUGCUUGCACUUUGGAAAUGAGUAUCUUAGUGGCGGACGGGUGAGUAACGCGUGGGUGACCUGCCCCAUACCGGGGGAUACCACCUGGAAACAGGUGCUAAUACCGCAUAGGCGCUUCAGAGCGCAUAUUCGGUUCCUGAAAAAGUCUGUUGGUCUUUGAUUGACCCGCGUGUGAUUAGCCCAUCAGCAGGAUAAUGGCUUACCAAUGUGAGAAUCAGUUGCCCCCCAGAGAAGGUGGAACGCCAUCCAGAGUCUUAGACACGGCCCCAAUUCGUAAUGGAGGCCGCAGGUGGGGAAUCAUUGCACAAUGCAAGUAACCUGGAUGCAGAGACGCCUACUGAUUGUAGACGUAUUUGCGUGAGGUAACGAUCUGUCGCCAGGAGCGACACAAGACGAUUCCCGAGUAAGAAGCCCUCGGCUAACUCGUGCCAGCCGCCGCGGUAAUACGUAGGGGGCAAGCGUUUUCCGGAAUCUCUGGGUUAAAGGGAGCGCAGGCGGGUGAGCAAGCCUGAAGUGAAAAAUUGCGGGGCCUCAACCCCUGUGAGAUGCCUUCGGGAACUGGUCAAGUCUUGGAGUGGCGAGGAGAAGGUAUAGUGGAAUGUCUCUAGUGUAGCGCGUGAGAAUGCAGUAGAUAUCAGGCAGGAACACCGGUGGCGAAGGCGGCUUACUGGACCCUAACUGACGUUGAGGCUCGAAAGCGUGGGGAGCAAACAGGAUUAGAUACCCUGGUAGUCCACGCAGUAAACGAUGAUUACUAGGUGUCGGGGGGCAGAGGCCCUUCGGUGCCGCAGCAAACGCAAUAAGUAAUCCACCUGGGGAGUACGUCCGCAAGGAUGAAACCCAAAGGAAUUGACGGGGACCCGCACAAGCGGUGGAGCAUGUGGUUUAAUUUGAAGCAACGCGAAGAACCUUACCCGGCCUUGACAUCCCCCUGACAGCAUAUGUAAUGUAUGUUCCUUUUGGGGCAGGGGAGACAGGUGGUGCAUGGUUGUCGUCAGCUCGUGUCGUGAGAUGUUGGGUUAAGUCCCGCAACGAGCGCAACCCUUUCCCACAGUAGCCAGCACAAAAGGUGGGCACUCUGUGGGGACUGCCGGGGACAACCCGGAGGAAGGUGGGGAUGACGUCAAAUCAUCAUGCCCCUUAUGGCCGGGGCUACACACGUGCUACAAUGGCGUAAACAAAGGGAAGCGAGAGAGUGAUGUUAAGCGAAACUCAAAAAUAACGUCCCAGUUCGGAUUGCAGUCUGCAACUCGAUUGCAUGAAGCUGGAAUCGUUAGUAAUCGCGGAUCAGAAUGCCGCGGUGAAUACGUUCCCGG